UACAGAGGUCCCAAGCGUUGUUCGGAUUCACUGGGCGUAAAGGGUGCGUAGGCGGUCGGGUAAGUCUGAUGUGAAAUCUCACAGCUUAACUGUGAAACUGCAUUGGAUACUAUUCGGCUUGAGAGUUGGAGGGGGGACUGGAAUUCUUGGUGUAGCAGUGAAAUGCGUAGAUAUCAGGAAGAACACCCGUGGCGAAAGCGGCUCUCUGGAACGGUACUGACGCUGAGACGCGAAAGCGUGGGGAGCGAACAGG
This 253-nucleotide ribosomal RNA is filed under the name uncultured bacterium. RNAcentral's name for it is "partial 16S ribosomal RNA". It matches the Rfam family "Bacterial small subunit ribosomal RNA", at positions 524 to 776 of the family's 1533-position model. The record is from RNAcentral.